CCGAAAAUAGCUCAGCGGUAGAGCGGGAGACUGUAGUGGCUUGGAACCCCUGGUUCUCGUUGUAAUCUCUAGGUCCCUGGUUCAAAUCCGGGUUUUCGGA
Molecule: transfer RNA, 100 nt
Filed under: Coemansia sp. RSA 2399
Lineage: Eukaryota; Fungi; Kickxellomycota; Kickxellomycetes; Kickxellales; Kickxellaceae
Description: tRNA-Tyr
Rfam family: tRNA
About the family: Transfer RNA (tRNA) molecules are approximately 80 nucleotides in length. Their secondary structure includes four short double-helical elements and three loops (D, anti-codon, and T loops).
Source: RNAcentral